GUUUGGCUAUGUGCCUAUGGAAACCGACCCCGGCUAUGUCCGGGCGAUGAGGUUGUUCGGCCUCAGACUGUGGAGGGGCUCAGCCCCUUUUCCCGUGACCGGGGAACACUUGUCAGGCCUCAUGGUGUGACGAGCAGUAGGAGCGGGCUUUCCUGGUGCCCUGCAACCGCCCCCAACUAUGAAUAGGUAAGCCUCGCAAGACGCGGCGUGUUCUGCUAAGGGGAUACGGUUUACCGCCACGGCUUUGUUUCCCUGUAGGAUUCCAUGCCCUAUCUAGUUCCCUGUCCCCCGUAAGGUGGUGACGCAGCUUCCCCUCUGCUUGGCAGGGGCAGCCGGUGUCAUCCACCGCCAUGGGGCUGCUAGCUGGGCUACGGUGGGCGGCCUGGCCAGGGCUGACUGAGUGGUUCUCAUGAGAGAGCGGUGAUAGCCGUGCGUGGUCGUGUGAAGGGCGUGUUUAGUGAGUGAGAGGCAACAUUUGUGGGUCGUUUGGGAUGGGCAGCCUAGCAUUUGUAGAAGGGUCCAGGCAUGAGGUCCGGGGGUGUGGGGUAAUAAGCACUCCCGUCUGUCUAAUGCUUUCCAGGGUGUCGUGGGUUGUGCACGAUGUCCCAUCCGGCGGAGUGAACAGCGGUGGCAACGUCGGCGUACUGAGCGUGAAUCACUAGACAGGCGAAGAGGUGUAACAGGGAAGCUUCCCCUCUCUUUCCUAUGGAAGAGCACACGGCACGCACCAGCUGCCAGCCGUCCAGCUUCACUGCGUCCAGGCACCACAUGUCGUCCAGCGUAAUCUCCUUGGAGCCGAUCU
This 802-nucleotide long non-coding RNA is filed under the name Chlamydomonas reinhardtii. RNAcentral describes it as "long non-coding RNA (CREI_LNC000773)". The record is from RNAcentral. Lineage: Eukaryota; Viridiplantae; Chlorophyta; Chlorophyceae; Chlamydomonadales; Chlamydomonadaceae.